AUGCAGGAAAUGAAAAGCAAACACUUAAAGAUAAUCAGACAGCUGGAAAACACAAAGAAAGAAAACCAAAGCAAGGAGCAGACUAUAACUACUAUAAAUAAACUUUAUGGUGACAAAAUUAGGAGUUUGAAAUCCCAGUUGGAAGCUUACCAUGAACUGAUGAACAAGAACAGCACCCAUUGGCAAAAUGCUGUUAAGAGCCUGAGGGAAAGAAACAGAAAACUGAGCCAGGACAAAGAAGAUCUUAUUCACCAAAUGAAGCAACAAACAGAAAAAAUGGAAGAACAAAAGGUCUCCAUUCUAGAAAAUCUGACAAAAAGAAUAAAACAUCUUUAUACCCAGCACACAUUGACUUUGCAGGAACUUCACACCAUCAGUCUAUAUGUGGAGAGAGUGCAUGACCUCGUGAAUUUCCAGAUAAAAAUUCUUCAACAAAAGUCUGAAAAGACAGAAGAAGAAAAAUCCGAUGUGCCAGUGAUUUUAAAAUUAAAGGCAGAACAAGCAGCUAAUGAAGAGAAGCCUGAAUGCUUAAUGGAAACAGAACCUCUUUGGCAAGCACACGUCAUGUUGCAAAAGAUACAGGAAUCUUUACAGAAACAAGACAGAGAAAUCAGUGAGACCCUUGAAAGUGAAAGAUAUUACAAAACAAUGAAACCUCAAAUCAAGGUGCUAAUGUUCUUGAAAAAUCUUGCCAAGAAGGUUCACACCAUAUAUUGUGAUGUUCCUGAGGCACAACAGUAUAUCAGCCAGCUUAUCAGAAAGAACAAGGAUGAAAGGGCUGAUCAGAAAGAAGCCUUUAAUAAUGCUCAGGCUGACAUUCUGUCUUAUGAAGUAUUUUAUGGAAAUGAACCCAUGGAUGACAAAAGGACAGAGCUGUCAAUGAAGCUUUUCAGAAAUCUUGGGAAAGCAAAAUCUGAAUUUGAAUACAUUGAAACGGAGAAGAUGGUUUUUGAUUGUAUCCGGACAGGGGAAAUCCCCAACUGGAUUAAAAGGGAUUGUCUUUAUGUAGCCUUGGCAGGUGAGAUAUCCUUUUGUCAAGUCAAAGAAAGCUAAUUUGCUCAGACAACUAACUUUUGAAUGUAAGAAAACAGAGUACAGCAAUUAAAGACACCUAGAGCAUGCUGCAAUCGGAAUUAUAGAAUGGUUUGGAUUGGAAGGGCCCUUAAAGAUCAUUGAAUUCCAACCUCUCUGCCAUGGGCAGGCACACCUCCUACUAGACCAGCUUGCUCAAAGCCCCGUCCAACCUGGCCUUGAACACUUCCACGGAUAUUCUCUGGGCAGCCUGUUUCAGUGCCUCACCACCCUCAUAGUAAAAAAUAGUAACAAAUUUCUUCCUAAUGUAUAAUCUACAUUUAUCCUCUUACAGUUUAAAACCAUUACACCUUGUCCUAUUAUUACACUUCCUGAUAAAGAUAACGAUACCAUAAAGAAUCCCAUGAAACACCUGUGCAUGCACAUGUGCAUUUUAAUAAACUGCUGUAUGAAUUUAUAAGACUGCA
This 1499-nucleotide long non-coding RNA is filed under the name Anser cygnoides (Swan goose). RNAcentral describes it as "lncRNA (ENSACDG00005003596.1)". The record is from RNAcentral. Lineage: Eukaryota; Metazoa; Chordata; Aves; Anseriformes; Anatidae.